UACGAAGGGGGCUAGCGUUGCUCGGAAUUACUGGGCGUAAAGCGCACGUAGGCGGAUCCUUAAGUCGGUGGUGAAAUCCUGAAGCUCAACUUCAGAACUGCCUUCGAUACUGGGGACCUUGAGUUCGGGAGAGGUGAGUGGAACUGCGAGUGUAGAGGUGAAAUUCGUAGAUAUUCGCAAGAACACCAGUGGCGAAGGCGGCGCACUGGCCCGAUACUGACGCUGAGGUGCGAAAGCGUGGGGAGCAAACAGG
RNAcentral lists this ribosomal RNA (253 nucleotides) under uncultured bacterium. RNAcentral describes it as "partial 16S ribosomal RNA". It matches the Rfam family "Bacterial small subunit ribosomal RNA", at positions 524 to 776 of the family's 1533-position model. The record is from RNAcentral.